GACCAGACUCCUACGGGAGGCAGCAGUGGGGAAUAUUGCGCAAUGGGCGAAAGCCUGACGCAGCGACGCCGCGUGAGGGAUGAAGGUCUUCGGAUCGUAAACCUCUGUCAGCAGGGAAGAACGGUCACUGUGCUAAUCAGCAGUGAAUUGACGGUACCUGCAAAGGAAGCCCCGGCUAACUGCGUGCCAGCAGCCGCGGUAAUACGUAGGGGGCAAGCGUUAUCCGGAUUUACUGGGUGUAAAGGGAGCGUAGACGGCAGUGCAAGUCUGAAGUGAAAGCCCCGGGCUUAACCCGGGAAUUGCUUUGGAAACUGUACGGCUGGAGUGCUGGAGAGGUAAGCGGAAUUCCUAGUGUAGCGGUGAAAUGCGUAGAUAUUAGGAGGAACACCAGUGGCGAAGGCGGCUUACUGGACAGUAACUGACGUUGAGGCUCGAAAGCGUGGGGAGCAAACAGGAUUAGAUACCCCCGUG
RNAcentral lists this ribosomal RNA (471 nucleotides) under uncultured bacterium. Its description in RNAcentral is "bacterial SSU rRNA". It matches the Rfam family "Bacterial small subunit ribosomal RNA", at positions 329 to 792 of the family's 1533-position model. The record is from RNAcentral.